Quercus robur (English oak) is the source of this 549-nucleotide long non-coding RNA. RefSeq lists it as uncharacterized. The transcript has 2 exons. The record is from RefSeq and is a predicted model, not a curated record. NCBI's taxonomy places the organism in Eukaryota, Viridiplantae, Streptophyta, Magnoliopsida, Fagales, Fagaceae.
ACUCCGCUGCCUCUCUCUCACAUGAUUUCUUCCAUACUUCACGCUGUCUCUCUCUCUCACAACUUCUUCACAAUCAAUCGUCUCUCACACCUGGGUUUUUCUUUCAGAGGGCCAAUGCAAAACUAGUUUAUGCUUGUGAAUGGAAUCCCAAUGCCAUUGAGGCACUCCAACACAAUCUACAAGCCAAUUCAGUGAGUGAUCGUUGUAUCGUACUUGAAGGAGAUAACCGGAUUACACACCUAAAGUAUGUCCAUACACUGAUUUAUUUUGUAGUUAAUAAAUUCUAAAUAGUCAAGCUGUAGCACUAGCAUAUCAUGAUUAAAUUCCUAUUAGGUUAUUUUAAGUUAAUGAAAAUUUUCUUGUCUAGUGAUGUAGAGAGGAAAUUUUAAUUGACAAUGUACAUUUGAAGGUCAUGAUUGGUUAAUAGAUGUUGUCCAGUCAACUUUCCUGUGUAAUGUUUGAUGAACAUUAUUUUUAUUUUUUUUGGAUAGGUUGAUGAACAUUUUUAAAUGCUUGAUUUGAACCUAAUUUGGAAGACGAAUUAUUAUA